Molecule: long non-coding RNA, 3716 nt
Filed under: Marmota monax (woodchuck)
Lineage: Eukaryota; Metazoa; Chordata; Mammalia; Rodentia; Sciuridae
Source: RNAcentral
CCAGGCAGAGUCCCUCCCCUCUCAGGAAGGCCUUCUUGCCUCUUCAGACUACACCCCGUACAAGAUGAAGGUCAGCAAGUCCUGCGUGCCCAGAUGCUUUGAGACUGUGUAUGACGGCUACUCCAAGCACGCGUCCACCACCUCCUGCUGCCAGUACGACCUCUGUAAUGGUGCUGGCUUGGCUGCCCCAGGGACCCUGGCCCUGGCCCCCCUUCUCCUGGCCACCCUCUGGGCCCUGCUCUAAAGCCCUGGUUCCCCGGCAGACCUACUCGAGGACAGAGCUCUCAAGAGACAGCUGCACGCUCUCACAUGGUGUCCCCACCUGACAUUCUGCCUCCCAAGACCCCCUCAGCCACACCCGGACACAGAGCUGUCUGCAGAGGGACUCCUGGCCUCCCACCGCCCACAAGGCCUCACUCUGAGGCCACGGGCUUUCAUUUUUAAACAGCUGCUGUGUGGGACUGGGCCUCCCAAGGGUGCCUGGCCUUGGUGGGCAGGCUGGGCCCUGCCUGGGUCCAGGGACAGAGAUCUGGGAAAGUGCUGUUUAUGGGGAGGUCCAUCAGCGGAGAAGCACUGAUUUGAUGGGAGUAGCGCCAGCCCCACCCUGUGUGCAGCAGCUGGUGGGUGUGCUGGAGCGGGAGGGAGACAGGAACCCACUGUGGGGCAGGCAAACCCAGCAGGACCUCCCUGCAUCCUACUGAGGCCAGCUGCUGCCCGGGGCAUGUGAGGAGGAACUCUCAUUGUCAGCUGUCACAGGAACUGUGCCUGGCCUGGUGUCUGAGUGGCCCUCAGCAUAGGAGGGGUCGCCCUGCCUCGACAGACCCAAGGAGAGAUUUGUGCCCUCCUGAUCAGCCAGACCUCUAGCUUUCCCAUCCCCACCCCCACCCGGGUGCUGGACAAGCUUCAUCAGCCCAAGACUGGCAGGACUUGGAGUGGGCAGGCCAAGCUAUAUUUGGUCUAGCCUGCACUGACCAGGGCCAGGGCUAUUCUGGGCAGGCCAGGGCAGAUAGGCCACCAGGCCUGGUCCUCAGCCCAGUGGCCCUGGUAGAGAAAGAAAUGUGCCCACAAAUCAGGCAGCCUUGGGGAACAGGAGGACCCAAGGGACAGUGAAGUGUGACAACAGGAGUGGGAUCCGAGGCUGCCUCCUGGGUCCUGCAGGCCCCUCCGCCCUGCUGAUUGUUCUAGAUCUCAACAGAAGGGAAGGAGUACCCAGGGAGGCCCCCAGGGCUGCACCCUCUGCCUGAGGGCCCUUGACCCCAGGAGCUCCACCCAGCCCAGAGCUGGGAGGCUGGGUCUGCCCAACACCUGCCAUUCAAAUGUAGAGGGCCUGGGGAGCAUCUGUCCUUUCCAGUGAGACCAGAUGGGGCUGGAUCCUCUUCCCUGACCAGUGCCCCAGACCAGUGCUGGCUGACAAGACCCUGAAGCUGAUCCAGCCCAGGUGGGCAGGAUGGUGGCCAAUGUUCAUGUGUAGCAUUAUCCCUGGCUCCAAAGCACGGUCCUCAUGGGGGAGGCCUGCUGGACGCUGCAUCCUGAGACCUUUGCUUGUGACUACACCUCCAGGGGUGUUCAGGAGAUGAGGACUUCCAUCCUGGGGCUCCUCUCCCCAGCCUGAUGCUGGGGCUGGGGGGUGGAUUUUCCCACCUCCGUUAGCUUCUCUGGAGACAGGUAGCUGGAUGGGGAAGUGGAGUCCCACGGAGGGCUCACCAGUUCCUCAGGGAGGACAGUGUGGACCUCUUGCAGAGGUGACUCUGGUGGGAAGGGGCCCAGGGGUAAGAGCACAUUGACUUCCCAGAGAGAGAAAGGAGUAGCACACACAGGGGGCAGGCCUGGACACACACUGUGGGGCCAGUGCCAGGCCCAAGAGACCACCCUGGCUCCAACUGACAUCUCCUUCCCCCAAGGCCCUCUUUGCAGGCUGGCAGAAAGCCAGGUACUGACCUGAGCUCCCACUGGACCCCCACCAGCAGGCAGCCAGCCUCAAGACAGUAGUGACCAGUGCAGGUCUCAAAGUACUGGCUGGGGGCAAGGGACAGGUGUGGGCCCUGACUCCAUGGGAAUGGCCCAGGAAGCUGUCACUACCCCACUUGUGCAAGUCCAUUGUCCCCAGUCAGAUGGCAUCCUGUGACAGAGCUGUGUGGGGCCCCAGGCUGGUCCUUCCUUUGCUCUCUGUAGCUCCCCAGGGUGGCUGGAAUGCUGCAGGGGCAGCUGCUCAGACCUGCCUCCUACAUCUAUCUGUCCAUGUCUCCCCCCCCUGACCUGCCCCAGCCCAGUGACCACACUGCCCCCAACCCCAGUACUGUGCUGCCCGUGCCACCUCCACAGCCAGGGGUCCUGCCUGCCUGGCCUGUCCCUGGGACCUACUACAGAGCAUGUGGAAGGUGUCCUGCUGGGCCAAGGCUGGCCGAGGGAAGUGACGGCUUGCAUACUGGGGAAUUGGGACAGCAGUGCUGGGGGUUGGCCUGUCCUGAUCCUGCCCACUCCCACUGCAGCUGGCUCUGAGCACUCCAUGGCAGCCUGCAAGGCAGGAGCCACAGCCAUGCCCCAACAGGCGAGGAGACUGAGGCCCAGAGAGGGGAAGCCAUUAGUUGCCCCAAGGCCAGCUGGCCUCCCACAGGCCCGCAGCCCAGCCACCUUGCAGGUUCUUCCCCCACAGGCUGCUCCUCCAGGCCUGGGAGUGGGUGGAGUGCUUAGAACCUUCAGAGUCUUGCCAUGUUAUGUAAGAACCUAGGAGCAGGAAAGCUUGGAAGGGAAAAUUGGAACCAUAGGUUUGAGAAGCCACAGGCCAGUCGCAUCCAGUCCUGCAACCGGCUGUGAAGGGGAAGGCGGUGAACAGGCAGAGGAGGGCAGAGGGGCACUGGGCACCAAGGGCUGGCCCUCCUGCCUGCGUCUGGGCUCAGGUCUGCAGGCCAGGCAGUGGAUGUCCCUGCUCUGGGAGAAAUAAGAGCCCCUCCAAUGUGGGUGAGUGCUCAGGGCCAUUCGCUGCUGCUCUCUGUGGAGUCCCGGCCUCGAGACAAGCUUCGGUUGACACUGUGGUGCCAAGAGUGUUGUGUGUUCUCCGUGGCCCUGUCUAGCUGCCGCUCUGGCCACCGCCUGCAGGCCAGGCCUGCACCAGCAGCAAAAGGCACGCUCGGCAGCUGUGGGCCUGGGCUGGCCCUGUCACAGAGAGGCUGUGAGGUGGAACUGUGGCAGGCCAGGCCCUGCCGUGACAUCUGGACUCUCCCCGGGAACUGGAGGUGGGAAGGGAGGCGACUGGCAGCUGCACCUCCCAGCUUCCUCUCAGUGCCGGUCACAGGGCAUGUGUGUUCUCAACCCCAACUCUGAAGACACACAGAAAUAGAGGGUCCCCUUUCCUCGCCACUCCAUCCCUUCCCUAGCACACUUUGUGGGUCCCAGAACUCUGGGCUUCUCAGCAGAGCUCCAAACCUCAGCCCUCUCGUUGACAAGACGGCCAUGGGUGUAAGUUUCCAGCCUGGGGCCCGGACACCAGGGGCCCCAGAUGGGUGGUGCCCUUCCAUCCUAACUCCCUAGGGUCCAGGAGCUUCCUGGGGCCAUGUGCCUGCCAGCAGCUAACGUUAACCCUAAGUCCCAACUCGCACCUGGCCAGGAUGUGAAAUGCCACCCCUGUGCCACAGGUGCCCCUUUACUUAGCACACAUACCCAGCCCCCAGGAGAGGUCCUGUCAGUGUCCCCUGUGGAAUGCAUGAAUAAAUGGACAG